RNAcentral lists this ribosomal RNA (677 nucleotides) under uncultured bacterium. RNAcentral describes it as "bacterial SSU rRNA". It matches the Rfam family "Bacterial small subunit ribosomal RNA", at positions 140 to 828 of the family's 1533-position model. The record is from RNAcentral.
GGGACAGCCUCGGGAAACCGUGGGUAAUACCGGAUACUCCGGGACGGCCGCAUGGCCGGCCCGGGAAAGCCCAGACGGGAGGGGAUGGGCCCGCGGCCUGUUAGCUAGUCGGCGGGGUAACGGCCCACCGAGGCGAUUAUGGGUAGCCGGGUUGAGAGACCGACCGGCCAGAUUGGGACUGAGACACGGCCCAGACUCCUACGGGAGGCAGCAGUGGGGAAUCUUGCGCAAUGGGCGGAAGCCUGACGCAGCGACGCCGCGUGCGGGACGAAGGCCUUCGGGUCGUAAACCGCUUUCAGCAGGGACGAGGCCCUCACGGUGACGGUACCUGCAGAAGAAGCCCCGGCUAACUACGUGCCAGCAGCCGCGGUAAUACGUAGGGGGCGAGCGUUAUCCGGAUUCAUUGGGCGUAAAGCGCGCGUAGGCGGCCUGUUAGGUCGGGGGUCAAAUACCGGGGCUCAACCCCGGUCCGCCCCCGAUACCGGCAGGCUUGAGUCUGGUAGGGGAAGGCGGAAUUUCCAGUGUAGCGGUGGAAUGCGCAGAUAUUGGGAAGAACACCGGCGGCGAAGGCGGCCUUCUGGGCCACGACUGACGCUGAGGCGCGAAAGCUAGGGGAGCGAACAGGAUUAGAUACCCUGGUAGUCCUAGCCGUAAACGAUGACAGCUAGGUGUGGGGG